This 497-nucleotide ribosomal RNA is filed under the name uncultured bacterium. Its description in RNAcentral is "partial 16S ribosomal RNA". It matches the Rfam family "Bacterial small subunit ribosomal RNA", at positions 28 to 507 of the family's 1533-position model. The record is from RNAcentral.
GAUGAACGCUGGCGGCGUGCCUAAUACAUGCAAGUCGAGCGAACAGACGAGGAGCUUGCUCCUCUGACGUUAGCGGCGGACGGGUGAGUAACACGUGGAUAACCUACCUAUAAGACUGGGAUAACUUCGGGAAACCGGAGCUAAUACCGGAUAAUAUAUUGAACCGCAUGGUUCAAUAGUGAAAGACGGUUUUGCUGUCACUUAUAGAUGGAUCCGCGCCGCAUUAGCUAGUUGGUAAGGUAACGGCUUACCAAGGCAACGAUGCGUAGCCGACCUGAGAGGGUGAUCGGCCACACUGGAACUGAGACAAGGUCCAGACUCCUACGGGAGGCAGCAGGAGGGAAUCUUCCGCAAUGGGCGAAAGCCUGACGGAGCAACGCCGCGUGAGUGAUGAAGGUCUUCGGAUCGUAAAACUCUGUUAUUAGGGAAGAACAAAUGUGUAAGUAACUAUGCACGUCUUGACGGUACCUAAUCAGAAAGCCACGGCUAACUACGUG